Molecule: ribosomal RNA, 1389 nt
Filed under: Vibrio sp.
Lineage: Bacteria; Pseudomonadati; Pseudomonadota; Gammaproteobacteria; Vibrionales; Vibrionaceae
Description: bacterial SSU rRNA
Rfam family: Bacterial small subunit ribosomal RNA
Source: RNAcentral
AGUCGAGCGGCAGCGACAACAUUGAACCUUCGGGGGAUUUGUUGGGCGGCGAGCGGCGGACGGGUGAGUAAUGCCUAGGAAAUUGCCCUGAUGUGGGGGAUAACCAUUGGAAACGAUGGCUAAUACCGCAUGAUGCCUUCGGGCCAAAGAGGGGGACCUUCGGGCCUCUCGCGUCAGGAUAUGCCUAGGUGGGAUUAGCUAGUUGGUGAGGUAAGGGCUCACCAAGGCGACGAUCCCUAGCUGGUCUGAGAGGAUGAUCAGCCACACUGGAACUGAGACACGGUCCAGACUCCUACGGGAGGCAGCAGUGGGGAAUAUUGCACAAUGGGCGCAAGCCUGAUGCAGCCAUGCCGCGUGUGUGAAGAAGGCCUUCGGGUUGUAAAGCACUUUCAGUCGUGAGGAAGGUAGUGUGUUUAAUAGAUGCAUUAUUUGACGUUAGCGACAGAAGAAGCACCGGCUAACUCCGUGCCAGCAGCCGCGGUAAUACGGAGGGUGCGAGCGUUAAUCGGAAUUACUGGGCGUAAAGCGCAUGCAGGUGGUUUGUUAAGUCAGAUGUGAAAGCCCGGGGCUCAACCUCGGAAUAGCAUUUGAAACUGGCAGACUAGAGUACUGUAGAGGGGGGUAGAAUUUCAGGUGUAGCGGUGAAAUGCGUAGAGAUCUGAAGGAAUACCGGUGGCGAAGGCGGCCCCCUGGACAGAUACUGACACUCAGAUGCGAAAGCGUGGGGAGCAAACAGGAUUAGAUACCCUGGUAGUCCACGCCGUAAACGAUGUCUACUUGGAGGUUGUGGCCUUGAGCCGUGGCUUUCGGAGCUAACGCGUUAAGUAGACCGCCUGGGGAGUACGGUCGCAAGAUUAAAACUCAAAUGAAUUGACGGGGGCCCGCACAAGCGGUGGAGCAUGUGGUUUAAUUCGAUGCAACGCGAAGAACCUUACCUACUCUUGACAUCCAGAGAAUCCUGCGGAGACGCGGGAGUGCCUUCGGGAACUCUGAGACAGGUGCUGCAUGGCUGUCGUCAGCUCGUGUUGUGAAAUGUUGGGUUAAGUCCCGCAACGAGCGCAACCCUUAUCCUUGUUUGCCAGCGAGUAAUGUCGGGAACUCCAGGGAGACUGCCGGUGAUAAACCGGAGGAAGGUGGGGACGACGUCAAGUCAUCAUGGCCCUUACGAGUAGGGCUACACACGUGCUACAAUGGCGCAUACAGAGGGCAGCCAACUUGCGAAAGUGAGCGAAUCCCAAAAAGUGCGUCGUAGUCCGGAUUGGAGUCUGCAACUCGACUCCAUGAAGUCGGAAUCGCUAGUAAUCGUGGAUCAGAAUGCCACGGUGAAUACGUUCCCGGGCCUUGUACACACCGCCCGUCACACCAUGGGAGUGGGCUGCAAAAGAAGUA